GCCGGAGUGGCGGAGCGGCCAAACGCGCCAGACUCAAGAUCUGGUGGCUUAGUGCCUACGCAGGUUCAAAUCCUGCCUCCGGCA
This 84-nucleotide transfer RNA is filed under the name Microcaldota archaeon. RNAcentral describes it as "tRNA-Leu". It matches the Rfam family "tRNA". From Rfam's summary of the family: Transfer RNA (tRNA) molecules are approximately 80 nucleotides in length. Their secondary structure includes four short double-helical elements and three loops (D, anti-codon, and T loops). Further hydrogen bonds mediate the characteristic L-shaped molecular structure. tRNAs have two regions of fundamental functional importance: the anti-codon, which is responsible for specific mRNA codon recognition, and the 3' end, to which the tRNAs corresponding amino acid is attached (by aminoacyl-tRNA synthetases). tRNAs cope with the degeneracy of the genetic code in two manners: having more than one tRNA (with a specific anti-codon) for a particular amino acid; and 'wobble' base-pairing, i.e. permitting non-standard base-pairing at the 3rd anti-codon position. RNAcentral also lists the same sequence under 1 other name. The record is from RNAcentral. Lineage: Archaea; Nanobdellati; Microcaldota.